Small nucleolar RNA from Lotus japonicus, 83 nucleotides. RefSeq annotates it as small nucleolar RNA SNORD24. Lineage: Eukaryota; Viridiplantae; Streptophyta; Magnoliopsida; Fabales; Fabaceae. The transcript has a single exon. The record is from RefSeq and is a predicted model, not a curated record.
GGUCAGUGAUGCUUAAAAAUAUUUGCUACUCUUGAUGGGAAGCACCCAUUUGAUGAUUUUCAUCCACCAAGAUCUCUGAGGCC